CAAUGGCGGAGGAGGAGCGUGUUCUCCAUGCGAUCCCUCAUCUCAUCUCAUCUCUCUCUCUCUCUCUCUCUCUCUCUCUCUCUCUCUAUUUUCGCAACAAUGGCGGAGGAGGAGCGUGGUCUCCAUGCGACCCCUCGCCUCGUCCACCUCAUCGCGCGUCCGCAUACGACGCCGACUAUGAGGCAACAAGCUACUGCUAUGAACCCUAGUAUCCUCGGUGGGUGCGGUGGCCGGAGGGCCUAGCGCCGCCGCGGCGCACCGGGAGGGGUUUGAAGCCAAAUCCUAGACCUGGUCCACCGCGCCAUCCGUGGACCGAGCCAAUCGGAUCGCAUCCUGUGGAAAUUGUAUGUAAGCGUUGCACUAUUCUUUCUUUUCCUCAUCACAAUGAACAUAUCCUUCAAAAAUUUUCAUUCAUUUUCUUUUUUCCCCAAUGGAUCAUGAAAAAAGAAAGGGUAAACUUCAAAUUGCCCCCCGUGUUUUAGCUCAUUUUUACUUUGCCACUCCGUGAUUCCAAAAGUUUUACUCUUUUUUGCUCCCCUGUGGUUUAUAGCUCAUUUUCCAUUUAGGGUCCGUUUGGUUCAACGUAAAACUGUGAAAGAUAAUUUUCGGUGGAAAAGAAAUUUCGAUGGAAAAAAAAACGCUCUUUAACGUUUUAUUUGUAGGGGAAAAAAGGAGCUUUCCAAUGCUUGUUUGAUUGAAAGAAAAAAUUUGAAUGAAAAAUAAUUUUAAAUAUUUUUGUUCUGUUAUAUUAUGUAUCAUUAUUUAUAUAAAUAAUUAUCAUAUUAUAUUUAUAUAAUUAAUAUUUAUAUCUAUAUAUAUUAGUAUAAUCAUCAUCAUCAUCAUCAUCUAUAUGUAUUCCAGCCUAGUUCUAUAAUAUAUAAUAACAUGGAUAUAAUAUAUAAAUAUGAGGCCCGCUACAGUGCUAUCAAUAGCACCAAACACUUGAUGUUACCAAAUUUUUCUCCAUUAGAUCUAUCCCUUCGACUAGUUCCACUCCUUAGAUCAUAUUGUUCUACCAACCACUCACUAAACUCUAGAGGGAUCACUGUCAUUAUAACCGCACAUCCUUCAUCGAAGAGCCGAAAAACUGAUAGUACCUAUAACUUGGUGCUAUUAAUAGUAUUCUUGCCUAGUUCUAUAUAUAUAUAUAUAUAUAUAUAUAUAUAUAUAAAGAGGGUAAGAGACCAUCAUCCUCCAGAGAGUUUUCGUUCUCCGCCGAAAAACAGCGGAAAACGGAAACUUCAAAUUUUCCAUUUACGGCUCAAUUCUCUCUCUACUGAUGUUGGCAUGGCAGCUGGGUGGCCUGCUGUUGGGCAGGCUUGCUGCAGCUACACAGUCGUUACGAGAGUGGAAUCUCUGUUGAUCUUUUCAUCUCUCUACCUUUAACAUCUUUCUCACUUGCUGUUCUUUUUUCUGUUUUAUUUGGGGGGUUUCAGUUUGAUUUAUUGCAUAUAUUUUUUCUUAAAAUUUUGAUUUUGACUUUUCAACUCAAAUUGUUGGAUGAACAAUUUAGUAUUUGAAUCAUACUUUCCCUAUUUUUUGGAGCUUUUUGAGUAUCAAUAAAUCAAUUCUGUUGGAUAAAUUUCUUCUUCACUAUUUAUUUGGUGAGGGAAAAGGGAUGGCAUUACUUUGAGCGUUGCUUUUGUUCUACAUCGUUGAACUUACGAACAUGCCACAUCGGCCAUUAAAAUAGUCAUUUUGUCCAGGUAAUCUGAGCAUUGCUUUUGUUUUCUUUCCUUCCCUUUUGCUGAGAAAAUCGAAGGUAUUAUUGGAAGCUCGUCAUAUAUUCGUUAUCGUUUUGUUCUUGGUAUUACCAUUUUACCAUUUUAUCAAUUUGUAUUUGUUUCUUGUGAAUUCUUUGAUGAUCAUUUUGUUUUUCGAACUUUGAAAUUAGGUUUUUUUUUUCUUUCCACUCUCUCUUGUUGCAUUCACUGGUUCUUUUCCACU
RNAcentral lists this long non-coding RNA (1947 nucleotides) under Ananas comosus (pineapple). Its description in RNAcentral is "long non-coding RNA (ACOM_LNC009586)". The record is from RNAcentral. Lineage: Eukaryota; Viridiplantae; Streptophyta; Magnoliopsida; Poales; Bromeliaceae.